Molecule: ribosomal RNA, 253 nt
Filed under: uncultured bacterium
Lineage: Bacteria
Description: partial 16S ribosomal RNA
Rfam family: Bacterial small subunit ribosomal RNA
Source: RNAcentral
UACGGAGGGUGCAAGCGUUAAUCGGAAUUACUGGGCGUAAAGGGUACGCAGGCGGUCUAUUAAGUCAGAUGUGAAAGCCCCGAGCUUAACUUGGGAACUGCAUCUGAAACUGGUAGGCUAGAGUCUUGUUGAGGGGGGUGGAAUUCCAUGUGUAGCGGUGAAAUGCGUAGAGAUGUGGAAGAAUACCGGUGGCGAAGGCGGCCCCCUGGACAAAGACUGACGCUCAGGUGCGAAAGCGUGGGGAGCAAACAGG